Molecule: ribosomal RNA, 423 nt
Filed under: uncultured bacterium
Lineage: Bacteria
Description: bacterial SSU rRNA
Rfam family: Bacterial small subunit ribosomal RNA
Source: RNAcentral
AAGACCUUGCGCUUUUGGAGCGGCCGAUGCCUGAUUAGCUUGUUGGUAAGGUAAAAGCUUACCAAGGCUUCGAUCAGUAGCCGGUCUGAGAGGACGGCCAGCCACACUGGGACUGAGACACGGCCCAGACUCCUACGGGAGGCAGCAGUGGGGAAUUUUGGACAAUGGGGGCAACCCUGAUCCAGCCAUGCCGCGUGAGUGAAGAAGGCCUUCGGGUUGUAAAGCUCUUUCAGCCGGAACGAAACGGUUACGGUUAAUACCCGUGAUUACUGACGGUACCGGAAGAAGAAGCACCGGCUAACUACGUGCCAGCAGCCGCGGUAAUACGUAGGGUGCGAGCGUUAAUCGGAAUUACUGGGCGUAAAGCGUGCGCAGGUGGUUUUGUAAGUCAGAUGUGAAAGCCCCGGGCUCAACCUGGGAACU